UACGGAGGGUGCAAACGUUGCUCGGAAUCAUUGGGCGUAAAGCGCACGUAGGCGGACCGCUAAGUCGGAUGUGAAAGCCCUCGGCUUAACCGAGGAAGUGCAUUCGAAACUGACAGUCUUGAGUAUGGAAGAGGGUCGCGGAAUUCCCGGUGUAGUGGUGAAAUGCGUAGAUAUCGGGAGGAACACCAGUGGCGAAGGCGACUACCUGGCCUGUUCUUGACGCUGAGGCGCGAAAGCUAGGGGAGCAAACGGG
RNAcentral lists this ribosomal RNA (253 nucleotides) under uncultured bacterium. RNAcentral's name for it is "partial 16S ribosomal RNA". It matches the Rfam family "Bacterial small subunit ribosomal RNA", at positions 524 to 776 of the family's 1533-position model. The record is from RNAcentral.